This 497-nucleotide ribosomal RNA is filed under the name uncultured bacterium. Its description in RNAcentral is "partial 16S ribosomal RNA". It matches the Rfam family "Bacterial small subunit ribosomal RNA", at positions 28 to 507 of the family's 1533-position model. The record is from RNAcentral.
GAUGAACGCUGGCGGCGUGCCUAAUACAUGCAAGUCGAGCGAACAGACGAGGAGCUUGCUCCUCUGACGUUAGCGGCGGACGGGUGAGUAACACGUGGAUAACCUACCUAUAAGACUGGGAUAACUUCGGGAAACCGGAGCUAAUACCGGAUAAUAUAUUGAACCGCAUGGUUCAAUAGUGAAAGUCGGUUUUGCUGUCACUUAUAGAUGGAUCCGCGCCGCAUUAGCUAGUUGGUAAGGUAACGGCUUACCAAGGCAACGAUGCGUAGCCGACCUGAGAGGGUGAUCGGGCACACUGGAACUGAGACACGGUCCAGACUCCUACGGGAGGCAGCAGUAGGGAAUCUUCCGCAAUGGGCGAAAGACUGACGGAGCAACGCCGCGUGAAUGAUGAAGGUCUUCGGAUCGUAAAACUCUGUUAGUAGGGAAGAACAAAUGUGUAAGUAACUAUGCACGUCUUGACGGUACCUAAUCAGAAAGCCACGGCUAACUACGUG